Molecule: long non-coding RNA, 841 nt
Filed under: Homo sapiens (human)
Lineage: Eukaryota; Metazoa; Chordata; Mammalia; Primates; Hominidae
Description: HSALNT0303760
Source: RNAcentral
AAGUAGAUACCACAAGGGAUACUGCAAGCUAAAAAAUAUGAGUACAUUUAUGCAAAAAUAAUGAAGUCACUCCUUCUUCAAGAAUGAAAGAUCUCCCACAAUUGUCUCCCAGUUCAGCCAAUUAUCACCUUAACAACCCACCUUUCACAUUAAGGUGUCAUUAUAAGAGAGAGUCAGAGGAAGACUUCACUACAAUAAAUAAAUAAAUAAGAUGUGAUGCUGGAACCAAAGGUUGAUAUGACAUGCUUUGAAGGUAGUGGAAGAACACCUGGGCCAAGAAAUGCAGGUGGUCUUUUGAGGCUGGAAAGACAAGGAAAUAGAUUCUUCCCUGAACUCUCCAGAAGGAAUGCAAACCUACCAACGUCAUAAUUUUUGACUUACAAACCCCGGAAAUGAAAAAGAAUCAAUUUAUGUUGUUUGGAGUAAGCUAUGUGAUAGGCAACCUUGAAAUGGCCCCAGAUAAUCCCUGCCUCCAGACUAACAAAAUGAUAUUUGUGUCCAGAACCAGUUAAAGAGCUGUGGCAGUUCUAAGAACUUCCACCAAGAUAAAGCAUAUUCUGAAAGCUGGUUGCCAGAGAAACCAAUCAGCGAUAAAAGAAUUGGGACUUUCAGCUUCACCUUCUCUACCUCUGGGGAGGAAAGAAAGGGCAGAUAUUGAGCUCAAUCUCCAGUGGCUACUGGUUUAAUCAAUAAUGCUUACAUACUGAAGCUUCCUUAAAAACCCUAAAUGAAGGAGUUCAGAAAACCCCAGGUUCACCACAAUGAUGAAGACAUUCAUGUGCCUAGAGAGUAGCCCACCCUAACUCAGUGGGGCAGAAACUCCUGUGGUCAGAACCCUUCU